This 93-nucleotide transfer RNA is filed under the name Thermoleophilaceae bacterium. RNAcentral's name for it is "tRNA-Sec". It matches the Rfam family "Selenocysteine transfer RNA". Lineage: Bacteria; Bacillati; Actinomycetota; Thermoleophilia; Thermoleophilales; Thermoleophilaceae. RNAcentral also lists the same sequence under 1 other name. The record is from RNAcentral.
GGAGCGGCAGGGGUCUGGUGGCCCGCGCGGCCUUCAAAGCCGUUGGGGCGGGGCAGCCCCCCGCUUGGAAGGUUCGAUUCCUUCGCCGCUCCG